CCUACGGGUGGCAGCAGUGAGGAAUAUUGGUCAAUGGGCGCAGGCCUGAACCAGCCAAGUCGCGUGAGGGAAGACUGCCCUAUGGGUUGUAAACCUCUUUUAUAAGGGAAGAAUAAUGACUACGUGUAGUCAGAUGCCCGUACCUUAUGAAUAAGCAUCGGCUAACUCCGUGCCAGCAGCCGCGGUAAUACGGAGGAUCCGAGCGUUAUCCGGAUUUAUUGGGGUUAAAGGGAGCGUAGGUGGAUUGUUAAGUCAGUUGUGAAAGUUUGCGGCUCAACCGUAAAAUUGCAGUUGAAACUGGCAGUCUUGAGUACAGUAGAGGUGGGCGGAAUUCGUGGUGUAGCGGUGAAAUGCUUAGAUAUCACGAAGAACUCCGAUUGCGAAGGCAGUUCACUGGACUGCAACUGACACUGAGGCUCGAAAGUGUGGGUAUCAAACAGGAUUAGAUACCCGUGUAGUC
This 460-nucleotide ribosomal RNA is filed under the name uncultured bacterium. Its description in RNAcentral is "partial 16S ribosomal RNA". It matches the Rfam family "Bacterial small subunit ribosomal RNA", at positions 338 to 795 of the family's 1533-position model. The record is from RNAcentral.